Molecule: ribosomal RNA, 301 nt
Filed under: uncultured bacterium
Lineage: Bacteria
Description: partial 16S ribosomal RNA
Rfam family: Bacterial small subunit ribosomal RNA
Source: RNAcentral
CAGCCGCCGCGGUAAUACGAGGGGGGCAAGCGUUGUUCGGAAUUAUUGGGCGUAAAGGGUGCGUAGGUGGUUUAAUAAGUCAUCUGUGAAAUCCAUGGGCUCAACCCAUAGUCUGCAGGCGAAACUGUCGGGCUUGAGAGUGGGAGAGGUGAGUGGAAUUUCCGGUGUAGCGGUGAAAUGCGUAGAUAUCGGAAGGAACACCUGUGGCGAAAGCGGCUCACUGGACCAUUUCUGACGCUGAUGCACGAAAGCUAGGGGAGCAAACAGGAUUAGAUACCCCGGUAGUCCCUGUCUCUUAUAC